GAGAGAGAAAGAGAGAGAGAACAUGCAAGGAACUUGACAAUUGUAGGUGUUGAUUGAUUUAAGCUUGUGUUUUGGCAGUUUAGAGGUUCAUGAUGAUAGAGAAAAUUCCUCAAAGGACCUUAAGGUUCUGACAUGUCAUACAAGCUUAUAUACGAAACACAAAUUGGCACAGCUCAUAACAAAAUCAAUUAAUUAAAUAUUAUUAACAUUAUCAGGUAGAAUUGAUUUUUUUUCCUUAACAUAUUAGGAUUCAGAACUGGCCUUGAACAGAAACAUUCACUUUUUUCAUUCUUUGACCUGCAUCUGUGAAAGUUAAACAGUUUCAUCCAUUUCUUUGGGUCUUUAUACAACCUUAGAUUUAGAGCUGCUAAACUCUUUUGGCCGUUUCAAAUUCAAUACUUCAACCCAGGUUAUUUUGGAUCUGCCCACUCAUUUUCUUCUCUUCUAUGAAAAAAAUUUCUAUAAACUCAAGCUUCUGCACACCGUUGUUGUUUUACAUUGGACAUGCGCAAACCAUCUCAAUCAACCUUGCUCAACUCAUCUUCAUCUCUUUUCUCUAUAUCAAUAAAAACAACACAACACCAAGCCACCAGCAAGGAUUUUAAUUUUCUCAAAUCACAACAUAAGUAAAUUAGUCUUCACAAGCUCCAAGGACAGGAAUCACCAUUUGAAAUGCCUCCGUAUCUAUCUAUAUACCUUUUACAGGUAGAAAUAGAAUAGUCAACAUCUAAAUAGCUGUCUAGAACAUAUACGUACACAAACACAUUCAGAUCACUUAAUAAAUUCUAAAUAAAGGAUUCUAUUCCUUAUAGAAGCAAGCCAAGGUCCUCUUGAAACAUUAAACCCUUAUGAAUCAAAAGACAAACCAGAAUGUUAGUGGAAUGAUAUCAAUUUUAAUUGGACUUCUGUUACUUGGUUCAAAGAAUGCAUACAAAAGGAAGGACUUCUGAUUUAACAGAGAUCCUGUCUUCUCAUCUUGCUAAAGAAAAUUCUACAUGUAAUGGCAAAAAUGUGAUUAUAAAAACAGUGCUUAUAGUAAAAUUAACCCUGCAAGCAGUAACAAAAGUGAAUUGUAUACAGCUGUUUGUCUGAUGAUACACGCUAGCG
RNAcentral lists this unclassified non-coding RNA (1107 nucleotides) under Hevea brasiliensis (rubber tree). Lineage: Eukaryota; Viridiplantae; Streptophyta; Magnoliopsida; Malpighiales; Euphorbiaceae. The record is from RNAcentral.